Long non-coding RNA from Syngnathoides biaculeatus (alligator pipefish), 452 nucleotides. RefSeq lists it as uncharacterized. NCBI's taxonomy places the organism in Eukaryota, Metazoa, Chordata, Actinopteri, Syngnathiformes, Syngnathidae. The transcript has 3 exons. The record is from RefSeq and is a predicted model, not a curated record.
UGCGCGUCGUCCAUGACGAAGCGAUGCGGACGCCGGAUUCCCUCCAAGGUCUUGCUCAUGGUCUUGCUGUCAACAUUCACCCAGCGUGCGGCGCCCGGCGCCAAGAAGUUUCUGUUGCACGUUCGGUCGGUACAAAAAAGGCCUCCCAGAAACACAAAUUCUCCGCUGGCGCGAGAGAGAAAUUGUCAGGAGCGAAAGGAGGCGACGGCAAACGCGCUUCAAGUGUGGGAUCGUACCACUGAAUUCUUUUUCCAGUCAGGGUCAUCAGCCCUGGCCACCGUCUAGAUUUGAGUUUGGGCUCACCGUAGUCCAGCUCCGAGGCAGGCCACCGGGUGCUGGUCCAGAAGUAAGGGGUCUGCAGAUGACAAGAUGUCCCAAGUCUUGAUUGGAGGUUCAUCCAAUUCCGGUUUUGGGCGGAGCAAAGCGUGGAGAGUUUUUGGAUACCUGGAAGC